RNAcentral lists this non-coding RNA (100 nucleotides) under Acidovorax carolinensis. Its description in RNAcentral is "Acidovorax sp. NA3 SAH (S-adenosyl-L-homocysteine) riboswitch aptamer". It matches the Rfam family "SAH (S-adenosyl-L-homocysteine) riboswitch aptamer". Lineage: Bacteria; Pseudomonadati; Pseudomonadota; Betaproteobacteria; Burkholderiales; Comamonadaceae. The record is from Rfam by way of RNAcentral. RNAcentral also lists the same sequence under 1 other name.
UCGCCCAAGGAGCGUUGCAGCGGCUUCCCGCCACAGGAGAGGCCGUCAGGCUUGGGCACGGUAUGCACCGCAUGCCCCAUCGCAACGACGCUCACCUGUU